CGCACGCGCGUCCUCAGUUGCGCACGGUUACGCACGUAAGUCCUAGGUUGCGCGCCGUUGCGUACAGCUGUGGUGGGGACCGAACGGCCAACUGGGUUGCCUGGGGCAACUGACAGAACUGGGCAACUGACAGAACUGGCCCGGCACUGCUUUGCCCACAGUCGCAUCAGCAAAGAACCCCAUCUACGUGACAGACGGCGCUAUUAAUAGAAAAUUAGGCUUCAACCCAAUUGACCAAUAGAAAUGCUUCAAGGCCCGUCAUUGCUUAGUAAUAGUUGUGCGCCGGUGCUGCUUUGGCAGUGGGUGGAAUUUGUUGGGUUUAAUACGAGCCUGAAGCUUUGCCCGCUUAGGUAAAAGCCAGAGUUAGUAGAGUGGAUAGAGAGAAGUGAUUUAUAUAAUGGCUGGGGGUGAUAGGGUUUAAUUGUGCUUUUCUGGGUGGGAAUGUUUGAGACACGUUAUAAUAGCGACACAUAUAGUCUUUGGCAAGUGAGUGGCCACAGCCCGUUAGGAACUAGAGACUUUUGGGGCUGCUGGGUAGUGGCAACCCGGCCGGCCACUUCAGCACUCGCAGCAGCAGUGCGCAACAUCGUGCAGCUUGCGUGCGUAAUCGAGGGCGCGCGUGCGCAAAACACUUUGACUUCAGAGAGCGCCCCCACUUUUCACUGAGGUAACACUUGCCGGACUAGGGGUAGGCUGCAUAUGAGGUACUGGGCAAUUAUCAAACGUGUGCAGGAGCAAUAUAAUGUUCAAUCACUCAAUUGAGCUCAGUUGCUUGAAAAAUUCCCUCAUUUUUCUGUCAGCUCUCAUUAUGAAGACCUCCAUGACUGCUUCAGAAAUCCGCCAGAAGUUUAUAGACUUCUUCAAAGAUAAUGGGCUUAUGUCCAUUCUUCUGCCACAGUCCCCUUGGAUUGACCCAACUCUGCUCUUUGCCAAUGCUGGAAUGAACCAGAUAUGUUCUACGUCAAAUUCUUCGCCGUGCUGUGAGAUACGCCCAUGAAAAUCUUAAUGCAUCAAAAGGCUUUUUUCUACACUCUAGUCGAUGUGGUUGUCCAGUCACUGGUAUAUAAAUCUGCUCCACUUUUAUUAAUGAGUAUUUGUAUGUGGCCAAUACAGUAUUAGAAAGGCAUAUUCCUCAUCUAAACACAUAACAAUAUUAGGAGCACUCUGAUCAUUAGCAUACAGGAGAAGUGAGUCAUGGGGUUUUCACAGUUGAUGUCUGCAAAAUUAGAUGCUUGUGAUGUGGCUGAGGCUAAGGAAGAGAUGGCAGAAACAGUCAUGGUUGAGAUUUCCUAAAGAUCAACUAAAUGUAUCAAUUUAGAACAGUUUACAGGAUCGGCGACCCCCCCCCCAGAGCUGCUUCAGAAGGUGAAAAAAGACACUUGACACUUCAAUAUUAGAAAAACGGUCACAUAUAGAAAAUAGAAAGUCAAUGGAAAAAGUAAUUAUUUCUGGUGAUCUAUCUGAAAACAAGGAAUUGUUUGAAGGUGAACCACCCCUUUAAACACCCAGACAAUACUCAGUGUAACUUCUAAUUGUACGUUGCCAUAGUCCAAUUCAUAGUUACAAUGACUAAAUUUACAUUAUGCAAAGAGAAUAAAACUGAUUUGCUUGGC
Molecule: long non-coding RNA, 1613 nt
Organism: Xenopus laevis (African clawed frog)
Lineage: Eukaryota; Metazoa; Chordata; Amphibia; Anura; Pipidae
Exons: 2
Source: RefSeq, a predicted model, not a curated record